UAACCUUUGGAGAGGCGAGCAGGACAUCUGCAGAACUGUCAGCGCUCUGACAAGGACAGAGCUGAACAACCAAUUAUUCCACCAUCACUAAGGCCUCUUGGCUUGGAAUUACUCGGAGUAAAGCUGGCCAAGCUUGAUGAACGAUCUCUGAAAUGACUCCGUAAGCGGGCCGGGAUCCGCACCCUGUUUGGUGCUGACAGAAGAAGAUUAAUACAGGGGCUGCCUCCUGCAGCCUCGUUAAUAAAUAUUCACGGAGACGCCCUGCAGAGAGAUCUGAUUCGGAUUCUGCAGGCAUCGGGCAGCCUGACCGUGAACCACAGGGA
Nothoprocta perdicaria is the source of this 323-nucleotide long non-coding RNA. RefSeq lists it as uncharacterized. Lineage: Eukaryota; Metazoa; Chordata; Aves; Tinamiformes; Tinamidae. The transcript is spliced from 3 exons. The record is from RefSeq and is a predicted model, not a curated record.